ACGGGUGAGUAAUACAUCGGAACGUAUCCUGGAGUGGGGGAUAGCCCGGCGAAAGCCGGAUUAAUACCGCAUACGCUCUGAGGAGGAAAGCGGGGGACCUUCGGGCCUCGCGCUCAAGGGGCGGCCGAUGGCGGAUUAGGUAGUUGGUGGGGUAAAGGCCUACCAAGCCGACGAUCCGUAGCUGGUCUGAGAGGACGACCAGCCACACUGGGACUGAGACACGGCCCAGACUCCUACGGGAGGCAGCAGUGGGGAAUUUUGGACAAUGGGGGCAACCCUGAUCCAGCAAUGCCGCGUGUGUGAAGAAGGCCUUCGGGUCGUAAAGCACUUUUGUCCGGAAAGAAAUCAUCGGGGCCAAUACCCCUGGUGGAUGACGGUACCGGAAGAAUAAGCACCGGCUAACUACGUGCCAGCAGCCGCGGUAAUACGUAGGGUGCGAGCGUUAAUCGGAAUUACUGGGCGUAAAGCGUGCGCAGGCGGUGCUGUAAGACCGAUGUGAAAUCCCCGGGCUUAACCUGGGAACUGCAUUGGUGACUGCAGCGCUGGAGUAUGGCAGAGGGGGGUGGAAUUCCACGU
RNAcentral lists this ribosomal RNA (576 nucleotides) under uncultured bacterium. Its description in RNAcentral is "bacterial SSU rRNA". It matches the Rfam family "Bacterial small subunit ribosomal RNA", at positions 102 to 674 of the family's 1533-position model. The record is from RNAcentral.